CCUACGGGGGGCAGCAGUGGGGAAUCUUGCGCAAUGGGCGAAAGCCUGACGCAGCAACGCCGCGUGGGGGAUGAAGGCCUUCGGGUUGUAAACCCCUUUCAGCAGGGACGCGGUACCUGCAGAAGAAGCCCCGGCCAACUACGUGCCAGCAGCCGCGGUAAUACGUAGGGGGCGAGCGUUGUCCGGAUUCAUUGGGCGUAAAGAGCUCGUAGGCGGCUUGGCAAGCCGGGUGUGAAACCUCCAGGCUCAACCUGGAGACGCCACCCGGGACUGCUAGGCUAGAGUCCGGUAGGGGAUCACGGAAUUCCUGGUGUAGCGGUGAAAUGCGCAGAUAUCAGGAGGAACACCGGUGGCGAAGGCGGUGAUCUGGGCCGGACUGACGCUGAGGAGCGAAAGCGUGGGUAGCAAACAGGAUUAGAUACCCUUGUAGUC
Molecule: ribosomal RNA, 432 nt
Filed under: uncultured bacterium
Lineage: Bacteria
Description: partial 16S ribosomal RNA
Rfam family: Bacterial small subunit ribosomal RNA
Source: RNAcentral